GAUGAACGCUGGCGGCGUGCUUAACACAUGCAAGUCGAACGGAACUUGUAAGCGGAAGUCUUCGGAUGGAAGCUUGCUUGUUUAGUGGCGGACGGGUGAGUAACGCGUGGGUAACCUGCCUUACACAGGGGGAUAACAGCCGGAAACGGCUGCUAAUACCGCAUAAGCGCACAGCUUCGCAUGGAGCGGUGUGAAAAAGAUCUGGAGUUCGCUUGCGAACUCCCUGGUGUAAGAUGGACCCGCGUCUGAUUAGCUGGUUGGUGGGGUAACGGCCUACCAAGGCAACGAUCAGUAGCCGGCUUGAGAGAGUGAACGGCCACAUUGGGACUGAGACACGGCCCAAACUCCUACGGGAGGCAGCAGUGGGGAAUAUUGCACAAUGGGCGAAAGCCUGAUGCAGCGACGCCGCGUGAGUGAAGAAGUAUUUCGGUAUGUAAAGCUCUAUCAGCAGGGACGAAGCGGAGUUCGUAAGAACUCCAUUGACGGUACCUGACUAAGAAGCCCCGGCUAACUACGUG
Molecule: ribosomal RNA, 518 nt
Filed under: uncultured organism
Description: bacterial SSU rRNA
Rfam family: Bacterial small subunit ribosomal RNA
Source: RNAcentral